Long non-coding RNA from Papilio polytes (common Mormon), 215 nucleotides. RefSeq lists it as uncharacterized. The record is from RefSeq and is a predicted model, not a curated record. The transcript is spliced from 3 exons. NCBI's taxonomy places the organism in Eukaryota, Metazoa, Arthropoda, Insecta, Lepidoptera, Papilionidae.
CUGCGCACCGCUUACGAUAGAGUAAUUCAACUAUGGCAGAGGAAGCAGCUCAGAAUGAGACAGAAUAUGAUUUUCGCGACUAUCAAGGUGGUUAAAGGAUGGGAUUUCCCACAAUUCGUCGCAAUGGGCGCGGAGCAACGUCAAGCGAUACGCCGCGCACUUAACGAGGACGCAGAGAAGCUGCUAAGUGAAGGCGACGCCGCCGACCCUCAACU